Molecule: long non-coding RNA, 13233 nt
Organism: Centrocercus urophasianus (Greater sage-grouse)
Lineage: Eukaryota; Metazoa; Chordata; Aves; Galliformes; Phasianidae
Exons: 3
Source: RefSeq, a predicted model, not a curated record
UUAUUCCAGUUUCUACAGAGUGAACUCUGGUAACUGCUCACGUGGCUGCAUUAUGUCCCUGUCUUUUUUUCCCAAUAAUUCCUAUCUGACACAUCACUUGCCAUCCUUUUCCCUCAAUUUCCUCAGAAGAAUAAAUAAUACUGCUUUAACAUUUGAGACACAAUACUGCUGGUGGGGAAGUGAGAGAGAGCCCCGGAGAAGUUUGCUCAAGUUAUUGCAGCGCUUGUACCUGCAAGGUCCAGCAGUUUUAGUGAGACUCCAACUACGAACAGCCGCAGAUAAGAAAUGUUUCAACAGUUUGAAGUCUCUCUACAGACUGGAGUUAACAUUGCCAUGAAAACUAGAAACUCAGUUUCUAGGUUACUUCUUCCAGAUAAAAGCCUAUCAGGUACGGGAUGCGGGGCUGGAGUAGCCUUCCAGGGCAGGCUUGAUGUGGAGCUGGAGAGGACAGCAAGGAAGGAAAGGCAUAGGAAUAUAGCAUAUGUCCCAGGCACGCUCCAUAACAUAAGUCUUCUUAAAUGAAUUUGGCUAGCAGUGAUGGGACAAUACUAUGUGAAUCAAAGUCAGUGAUGCACUGGUGUGGGGUUGUUGCAGCAGGGGGAUCAGUGGCUGAACUAUUGGCCAGCCUGUGGGCUUGGGCAUGAUUUUCACUGCUCACGUGGCCCUGAGAGCCAAUGGCUUCAAGAGCCGCCGUUGGAGGGUGUCGUACUGAGUGGGCAUAUAUCAAAUUCCAAAUUCCUUUGUGUGAGAGCUCAGGAGAGACAAUAAUGUGUUUACAAAUGAUUGGGACUCACACAGGGGAGAGAAACCACUGCUCAUGCCAUAUGUGUUUCAGAACGAGCUGCUGAAUACCAGCGUGCAGAAGUCUGCAUUACAAAUUGGAUCAGCUACAGCAACUUGUCCAAUUCUAUUGAAGUCAUCUGACAGUCCCUGCAACUCUUUAUUGCCGAAGAUGCUGUGUUAAAUUAGAAAACAAAAAUGCCCUAAAAGUUAAAGCUGUUUCAUCUGAUUUUAUAACUUCCACUAUAAUUUUUAAAAGAAAGGGCAGCUUCUCAAGUAGUUUGCAGCUCACUUUUCUGUCCUUAGAAAAUCCCCAAAUGCCUUGAGCCCUUUUUCUUUCACCAUCAGCACUGCGAUCCAGUACUUUAGUGCAAGUACUUUGGUUUCAGAAGCAGUCAGGAGCACCCCUUUGCAGCCUGACUUUCUGCUUGAGAUUGGUUAAAGAGCUUCUUCCCUGUGUGUCUGCCUGUGCCUAGCAAGUGUAAUGUGUAGGCAAGACUAAAUCAGAAAAACCAAAUUCCUUCAGAGUGCCCCCCACCCCCCCCACCUCAUCCCAUUCGUCCUUCUCCCUUCCCCCAGGUCUCAUCUCACAACCUCGCAGAAAGCAGUACUGCUGCAGAGAAGAAAAGAAGUUAAUUGCAGUUCUGGCAAACAGGCUAUUUUACAGCUUUGUUUUUAAGCACUCACCUGAUUCUGCAAAAGUGAUGAUUUCUGAGGUUUGCUCCACAACUUCAUUCAUUUCUGCUCUUCUUCCAACAUCAUCCUCUAUUUCCACAUAGCCAUCGUCUCCCACCUUUCCCACAUGGAGUUUCUUGAUGGCAUUUAAAAGUGCUGCCUUGGGCACAGGCUGGGUGAUGUUAGGUCUGUCCCUCAAGUGCAACAUGUUCAGUAUGUGCUUCUUUACUGCUUCCACCAUCUCAGGCUGUGAGCUGGGCACAUCCUUCGAGAGCGUGGUGAGGGCACAUGAUGGACAGUCAGUGACUGAACUGUGCCCCUCGGAUCCUGGGGUUGGGGAACUCCUCACUAUAAUCCAGCAAAUCACCAACAGAAAUCCUCUCUUCCAAAGCAAAGGCAUCCUGGCAGCAAAAGUUGUUGUGAUUCCCUUUUUAAAAGGCCCUGCUUUUCCUCCCCCUUCACGCACAGUUUUUUUGGGGGCUGGUUUGUGUUGUUUGUUUGUUUGUUUGUUUUUCUUUCUCUUCAGCAAAUUCUCUGGAACAAGAACCAAAAGUUUUCUGUGAAGUUUUGUUUGCAGGUUCCCUCUCUGAAUGCAAUAAGUGCUGUAGAUGUUAGUGGCUGUCAGGGAGAAGAGUUCUGACUCUGUCUCAGAGUAGGAGAGAGACACAGAGAGAGGGAGAGAGAGGGAGAGGACGGAUUGGCCUAAAGUGAGUGAGUGAAUGGGAGAGGGAGGGAGUUUUGUCUGUGAGUAAAGGCUAUGAUUAGGAAGGGGGAGGAACAGGCAGGCUGGCUUCCUUAUGCUCAUUGCUCCCCUAACACACACCUCUCUUCAAAUAUCACUACUCAGGCUUUCUGCCCUCCUCUCUAAAAUCUCUCUCCAUUCCUGUAAAUUUACUCUUCCUUUUUCCCAGUUUGACCCUUCUGGCUCCCUCCUGGCUGUCACAUUCCCCCUCCUUUUUUCUCUUUUUUUUUUUUUUCUUUUUUUUUCUUUUUUUUUUUUCCCCAUUUGUUUUAUUCCUACAACAGUAUCACUGGCUUAACUAAACAGAGGAAACAUGAAUGAAUGAAGAGUGAAACCUUUUAUUAAUGAGCACCUUGCUCUUGUCCUGCCUGGUAUUGUUAGGGUUAGCAGGAGAUCUUAAAUAGCUUGUGAACAAGAUGGGGAUGACGGCAGGGGCUGAAAGUAUUUUGGGCAGAAUGCUAUUCUGCCUUGAGUGGAAGAGAAAAAGAUCUUUUCUGCUCAUUUGUAAAUGCUGGAGGUUAUCAACACUGGCAGGAGAUCUGACAGAAGCAAAAUAAUCCUGUUGUUUGGAGGGCUCUAUUAUACUUGAUACGCUCUCCAGCUGCAGAAUGCAAGCCAGGCACUGAGAGCACGAGCAGGAGGAGCUGGUAGGGCACAGGUCUGUGACAUGCAAAGGUACUGCUCGGGAACCAGAAACAUCCCUGCUGCUAUGCUAGCCUGUGCCUAGAAGUUCCUAUUUAGGUUUGGGAUUAAUCAAGUAAUGUCUGAAAAAUGCUUUGAAGACGGAACAUAUUACAUGUCAUCUGGCCAAAUCGUACUUGCUCCUGACUCAAGCAAAUCCCUCAUCAGUGCCAAUAAUAAUUCUGUCUGAGUGAAGACUGACUAAGAUCUUCUACAUUUGGCCCAUUGUUAUUCAAAGGAACUUUUUGUUUCAUUCAUUUAAACCACAGAAUCAUAAUAUUAGAAUAAGACAUAAUGAGUGAAAAGCAAUCUUAAAGCACUGCUAGGAGCCAGAGUUCCAGUCCCUGUCAGCAGAACCUUAGCAGCUCAUUCCGAUGAGGCUUCUGCCCUGCAAUGGGAAGUUUCUCUUAGGGCUUCGUAUUGCCUCUAACCUCAGCAGCAUCUCCGUGCUGCACCUUACUUAGCGAGGGUGAAGCGAACAAACUCCCUCACAUUUGGACUUUGUAACAGAGAAAACUACAGCUGAUGGAGUUGAGCUUCUGAGGUUCUUUCACACUGGACUUAAACUUCUACUGAUUUUCUCAGAGCUUCUGCUUCUUUGGCAUUUACCUUCUUUCGUUCUCUCUCUCUCUCACACGCACCUCUGUCUUCUUAGGUGUGCUUACCUCCCUCCAAGCAAACAUUUCACUUUCAGUACAUUACCAUCAACCACUGUAUUUGAGUGGGAAAGAGUAAUUUAUAAAGAUGAGCACUGUGAGGUCUGUCGUUUCCGUGAGAUAGCUCCCGGCACGCGGGCAGAGAGACAGGCAAGGGAUUGGAGUUGGAGUGAGUGAAGCAUACAGAAGUAAUUGAAAAAUCAACCAAGUUUUACAAAUGUUAUAUACUGCAAGUCCUUUUCAAUUAAGGUAUUUUAUAAGUCUUUCACUGUUAGAAGGCAUUCACAGUACACCCUCAUCUGCGUUUUACUGACCUCAGUUGCUAUACUGUUAUAUACUGUUACACUUACAGGUCUGUCAGCAUUAUAAACCCUGCAGCCAUUCUUAUAAACACAUCUUUGUAACACAAACCUCGCUAUAAUACAUCUAAAUUUCUUGGAUCUUGUGAACAGCCCAAAGUCUGUUGUAAUUAUAUGAAGUCUGAAAGUCAGCUUGAAAUAGAACUAAAAGUUUAAUUGGACCAAAGGAAAAAAAAAAAAAAAGAAAAAAAAUUCAGAUGAAAAUACGCAUUCAUGAUUAGAUGUACUAACAGAUGACAUAAUUAAAGGAGUUAUUUAUAGUUCUAAUACAGAAUCUAUCCCAUAAGUGUCUGAUGAGAAGUAAGGGAUAGGCAUAUUUCAGUUUAAAAGACAGACAGUGCACUUGAGUUGUUGCUGUGCGGCGUGCGCUGCUUGCCAAUGUAACAGGUACACCUCUCACAGCCUGUUACACGUAGGGAUAGCGUAGCAUGCCUGCAUGCCAUGCUGAUGACAGAUUUAAUGCUAAAGCAUAACUUUCUAAAAGCAUUGUUUUCUGAAAGCGAUUUUGCUGGUACCACUGAUAGAGAGUUCAUUCAUCCUUCCAGAUAUGCAUGCACACACACAUCUAUGUUCACGUCUGAAAAUACAAGGUUUGAAUAAAUAGAGAAAUGCUGGUUCAGAUUCUUUCCAUAAAAUUACCUGAGUUGCAAAGCUCUGCAUAUACAUUCAUUCAGCAUCGCCCUAGCAAUAUGCAACAGCAUGCACAUGAAUUGAAAGUUUUAGUUUUAAAAGAAAAAAAAAAAAAAAAAGCUGGUUUAAAGUUUUACCUCUCUAGUCCUCACUCUGAGAAGGAGACUGCUGUAUUGUGCAUUAAGAACUGCUGAAGUUCCUCUUUGUGGUACUUAUAAUGCGAAGCUUUAUACUGUACUUCUCGUGUGUACACUCACAUAUAGUGUCUGUCAAGAGUAAGUGGGCCGGAUCAGUGUGCUGGAUUGGUUAAUCCUGUUACAUCAGCAAUUGACUGUUUUUCCUGUAUGAGACAUACUUCUGGUAAUUAUCUAAUGGAAACUCCUAAUUGUCUAGCAUGACAAAAUAUCGUGGAUUCAACUUGUAGUGGUGAUCUGCGUAUCCAUUUAAAGAAUAGAACUUAAAAUCAGACUGAAUGCAAACACUAUGAGUCAGGAAGACACUCUCCAACUUGUUUUAUUGCAUAGCUAGAUAUAGAUAUUAUUAGAUGUAGAUAACACUGAUUUAGUUCAAAUGCAGUGUUUGCCAGAUAUUUAAUUACUAGUUAGCAAAUUGUUUGAGUCUGCUAUCGUGCUAAGGAUAUACAAGAUAAUCUAUCUGCAAAUUUGGAUUAUUUUCAAAUUCAGGAAAAUGCAUCUGGUUAAGAAUCCUUUUGCAGAGGAUACAAUUUUUAGUUCACUCUUUGUACAAAUAUGUCCUUCUGUUAACUUAGGCAUACUUUUAAAGUUCUUCAAAAAUGAAUCAUAUUGCUCAUGUCCAAGUCUCAUGGCUUCUUGACGUGCAGAUUACAUCACUAUUAAAAACUAUUUAGACAUCUAAAAAUAAGCUGCAAUGAAUUACAGGUGAAAUAAAAUCAACUUCAACUUCCAUUUCAGUUUACAUUAGCGAAACUCAAAAAUUACCGUAUGCCAAUUAGGCAGUACAAAAUUAAUAGAGAUACAUAAGGUCACAAGUAAAUUGAAAAUCAAUCUCCUUUCUUAAACACACAUAAUAACUGGUUUUAUGUGGUACCGUUUAUGACAAAUGGCAUGAUCAUGCAGUCUUUACUCAUUCAAAACACCCACUGAUUACCAGAAAAUCCCCAUCCUUCAGAUUUUUUUUUUCUUGGCCUGAAUCGUACUUACAAUUGUAUUUUUAUGUCCUGUCGGUAAUGCACAUUUAAUCUGUCUCAGAAUAUGACUGCUGUGGACCAGGCAAGAAAGAUUUCAAAUUUUCUUCUCCCUGAUACCAGGGAGUACUCAGAGCAGCACUGAUUCCAACCAAACUAUGUGCUCUAUUCACACAACAGCUUUAGUAGAAUGAGCAAAAAAUCGGGAGUUAAUGGGAAACAUAUGACCAGAUAGGUUGUUUUGUUUCCCAGUUUUUACAUGCAUAUAAUAAGUUUUCAGGCUGUAACGUGCCGUGGAUUGAAGCCCCUUGAAACAGGUUUCCUUCGUUUUUUUUCUGCGGUCUGACACUGAGGGUUCCAGUUGUUGCAAAGAACAUUUUAUUUUUAUUUUUCCUCCUUGAAGGACAGCGAGAGAGACACGCUUGAAGAAACAAAUGGUGAGCAUGCACGUACCUACUUCUGUGCAGGACAGUCACUUUUGUGGGGAUCCUAAACCCAAGCUUUGACAGAGGACUCAGAACUGUGUUUUUCUCAGGACCAAACUGAAUUUGGUUCUAACCGGCGUCCUCAACCCCUCUGAAAUUAGUUACAUACUGGUGGCACAGUGACUGCUGUCAUUUGGCAGCAGACAGGCGCUCAGCAAGAGAUCUUGUACUGCCUUGGUUUUAUAGAGAGUGGAAAAUCUGCCCCACAAGUACCAGAGCUCUGUACCCAAGCAUCAGGCUGGGGGCUGCUGAGGGCUGGGGUCCGGGGAGGGUGUGUGGUCUGUGGCAGAACCGGAGGGCUACAAGCAGAGCACAGCAACCGUGUGCGUGAUUUAUAGCCAGGAUAAUUUCUGAAAGGAGAUUAGGAGAAGUGAAAAGCAUUAUUCAUUUCAGAGCAUGCUCCUUGUUGCCUCGGGGAAUUCGUGUAUAGCUUUACCAAAGGCCUAAUGAAAGCUUUACUCAGUGACUAAUUUUUUUUUCACACCUAUUUCUCUCUUUAUAAAUAUUUUUCUCCCCACCCCUCCACUUCUUCUCAUUUUGUUGAACACAGCAACACCUGCUGGCAGCGGUCCGGGAGUACUGCUGGAAAGGCCCACUGAUCUGGCUCUUCAGACCAGCUGCCAUUAAGCACUGCCAAGCCAUAUUAAUGAGCUGCCUCUAUUUUUACCCCUUCCUGCCAGAAAGGGCAAUUGCUCUUGGGAAAGACUUUAGCUGUUUUGUUGGUUUUGUUUUUUUUUUUUUCUUUUCUUUCGUUCUUUCUUGCUUUCUUUUUUUUUUUUUUUCCUUUUUUCUGCCUUUAUUUUUUUUCUAGCAGAUUCAGAAUCCAAAUAAUCACUGUUCAUUUCGUGAAGUUGGGAUUUCUAAUGUCAGUUCUGAUGCCGCCAGUUGAGACCACAUACAACAUCAGAGUGACACCAAGCCUAUCGAGCUGGCUUGUAGGCACGCUUCUGUUCCUUGCUGAAUCAGAAAUAACGAAAGGAGUGGGACAGAGAGAAAGGUUAGCGUAGCAGCAACCUGCUUCUUAUUUCCUAAUUGUGGAUUUUAUCCUACAAACCAUUAAAAAGGAUGGCCCGGUGCCACUUCAUUAUUCACCUAGUGGAGGUUGUGUGAUUUACUGGCUAUUUUGGAAUUCCAAAUUGCACACAAUAGCAUUUGUGUGCCUCCAUUCCUGCUUUGAAGAGCAGUCACUAGAAAACACUUUGGCACAGAUUUCUGUGCAAAUCAGCUGGAAUUUCACUCUGGUGUACCUUAUUUUACUGUAAUAGCAACAAAAGAUGUGCCAGAAACUUAUAUUUAGAAGUUUUAUGUUUCCGCUUUUAUGUAUAAGGACCAAUUAAGCCUUGUCUUUUUGCUGCAAACUCUAAUACUUCUGUGCUGUUUGGAGGGGCCAGUGUUUUCAGUCAUAAUUAGUGAGCCGGUCAAAAAAUAAAGUUCAGUUGAGGAUAAGAACUCAAUCUAGAGGGUGGGGUAAAUAAUAGCUUUCAACUUCUUGCCUUUUUUUUUAUACUAAUGGAUGACACUUUUCUCAGGGGGGCAGAAUAAGUAAAAAUGUUCUGAUUGAAGUGAUUCUUGUAUAAAGUCAGUCUGGCUGACAAAAGCAAGUAUGUUUUCUUUCUGUCUGAACUAUACCUACAUCUUCUGCUAUGCAAUUCACUCAUCUUCCUUUCCAAUCCCUGAACAGUGAGUUAUUUCUUUAAAAGGGAUACUUUAUGUCUGUGCUAUUUUAGCAUAUGUGUGGCCAUUUCACACUUAAAAACAAAAAGCAGGAAACAGGAAUACACAAGCCAGAUGAUGGUACUGGUAUGAGAUGAUACGACACAAAUUGUGUCUUCUGUGACCAGUGCUUGUUUAAAGCAUUUCCCAUGGGGUAAAAUCUAUGUACAAAGAGAAUUUUCUCCAAUCUGCAGAGAGAAUGGUGUUAAACCACAACUACAUGAAAUGAAGUGGUUCAUAAAACCUAGUGUCCUGCCUUGGUGGCUUGAUAGGCAGAUUUUUGUCACAUUACUGGGGUAGUCUUUUUUUCCUUGAGAAGCAGCUCUGUGUCUUGAGUGAUACUGUCUUCAAAGACAUUUCCAGAAGAUGUGACUGGAGUCACGUCAGUGAUUUAAAUCACACAGGGAGGAAGCCCCAGAUGACCGAUCCUGUUUGGUAUCAAGGUGGGUGAAAAAUCUAUGGCUAAAGUUGAAGCAGCAUUUAACAUUUAUAGGUAAGUUAAAGCUAAUAAUGAAAAUUAGAUUGCACUGAAUUAAGUUGCACAAUGAAUCAUCGCAGCCAUUCCUAAUAACAAUUGUUCUUAGACCAGUGGAGUUUUGUCAAGAAUAAUGGAUGUCUAUUUCUCUUACAAGUUCUGAAUUCUCUGUUCUGUAUUCUUUUUACUGCAGCUAAUCACAGCGUAUUGAAUGCAAACUCUUAUCUUUCAGCUUUUAGAGCCAGUUCUCAGUGCCACUGAAGUUAACACUGUCUGUGGGACCAGAAGUCAGCUGAAUUGAACUUUGACUUUGAAGAUUAAUAUUAACCAUUGAGAGAUGGAAAGAGAGACUAGAAAUCAAGGCUUAGGCAAAAGCUGUUCAGCUGAUGUGCUUCUUAAAGUAAUAUUGCCUAUGAGUGGGAGAGAACUGAAUGAAGCUCGUGAGCUGGCCAUUUGCUUUGAGUUGAACUCAACAAGAGAUUACUCUGACAAAUCUUCCAAAGUAGUCAUCGUGCACAGGCCAUUGGGAAAAGUUGUAGCAACCCACACUGAUGGAUAUUCCCUCUUUGUGAGAGUGACAGGUAGAGAACUGGCAUAAGUGAAACACUGAGGACACCGACAUGUGCCUUGAAGAGGACAUGCUGAUCUUGUGCAUCGCUGCAGCUUUUCCCACUGUGAAUCCCCAGUAGAACAAAUCACCACGGAAAAGUCAACAUAUCCAGAAGUGAAGAUGGUAAGGAGAAGCCUGACUGCUUACAGCUUUUCCGAGCAGAGUAUUAGAUGGGGUCCUGGGAAGUCUGGAUUCUCUAGCUCAACUCUUGAUUGCUGGGCCCUUAGGACAAGUCCAUAACUUCCCCAUCUGCAAAAUGGAAACAAAAUCAUGGGGAGUACUGAGAUCAGUGGAUCAGGAAUAGCAAAAAAAAAAAAAACCAUCAUUGCAGUUGCUUGGUUUUUCAAAGUGUUUUGGGAUCUGAAGGAAGGAAACUGUAGAUGGAAGCAGGGUGUGGAUAAGCGCACAAGCUCAGCUGAUGUCAAAUGAAGUGCAGUCAGUGCUCCCAGUGUGUUUUUGCACUUCCUUGGUACCUUUGGAAGUAUCCACCAGUGCUUCUUCCUCAGGCAGCAGUGACCUUAUAAGGGAGGCAGUUUCAAGCCCUGUGAGCCUGCCUUGGCUCUCACAGAGCAAGAAACCACAGAUACCUGUCUAUUUAUCGAGAAUCUCAAUUUGCCAUUAACCAGCAAAUUCAGAAGCUCCCUAACUUGAAAUGUUGUUCAGCUAAAGCACAUAAUAUGCUUUAGCAAUAUGCAGUGAACAAUGCUGUGCUGUAUCCUUACUACCAGCACCAGAUUUAAUUUUGGUCAUUUAAGAUCACUUUCAGACUCGCGUCCAGCACAGGCAUCUAACCUCUGAGGGAUGGGGUUCAGUGAUUAUUUUCAUUAGAAAUUAGGAAGUUUCUGAGAGUGUUUCACAUAUGCCAAGUGAGAGAAGUGAAAUAAACACACAUUGCUUGCUAAUGUAAUUAAGUUGCCCCCCUUCCCUAUAAGCACACAUACCUUUUACAAGUCAGAAUUUCCACAUUAAGAUGAAAAUCUAAGUUCUGAGAACUUAUUUCAGAAUUUUCCCCAUAUCUAGAAGUAAUAACACUUGAGAUUUGCCUUGGUAGCACUGAGGCUGAUCCUUUGGAGUGGAUGUAGUGUCCCCAGAUCUGGACUGAAUUCCCUAAUCCACUUGCACUAACUUUUCUCAUGUGUUUUCAUGUUUUGUAGUUGAAGCACCAUGCUUGUGUUUGAGUGCAUGUGGGAGGGACAGCAUCUAAUUCAGUACCUGCUUGCCCAGCGUCCUUAUCUACAGACUUCAGUGUGCACACAAAACAUGGGGCAAGCGUGUUUAUCAGAGCACACAGAAUUGUACCUGCCAAGCUCAGAGAUCUCUUACAGGUGCUUUUAAAAUGGGCUUUAAGAUCAUCCUGUAAUCACUGGGAGAACAGCGGGCUGAUAUGCAGCAGUGAUGGCCAGUUGCCUAGAAUAUCAGUUCUUCUUCAAUAACUUUCGUAUGCCAACGAUGAACUUAUAAACAGUUAUUUUCUUUAUUCAUUGUCUGCUUAUUGGUGUCAUGCCCUCGUGAUGACUCCUGCUAAAAGGGGUGACAUAAGGUAGCUCAGAAUAAAGUUUUUGUGUGCAAACAGGGCUCAUCUGUGUAUCCAUGCACACAUUUUUUAAUUGCUCCUUUGAAGCCGUCCAUUCAGAGGCAGUAACCAAGCAUCUAGGAAGUAUAAAAACAACAAAGAAGUGUUCAGAUAUUUCUCAUGAAGCAGAUUUUGUAGUUAGUUCUCAUUCUUUUUUCUUCCCGCUUAAACUGAAUUUAGCUCCUCUGAUCAGAGCCAAAUUGACAGCUUUGAAUACUAAAGUAAUCUGCUUGCUCACGGGAGAAUUACAGCAGGGAGAGCCACAGGACAGCUUUCCUCACCCACUCGCAGAGGCUGGUUCAUCCCCACGGUCCAGCAAGCUAACACGACACUCAGCAGAGCUGCCUGAUGCUGUGACUUGUUCUGAGUGGGGACUGAUCUGAGAAAAAGGAAUCCUUUCAUACCAGUCAGCACAUAGUCUGGAAGUGACGCUCAGGGUAGUAUUGCUGAGAGGUGUCUGCACCUUAGUUCUCCAAAAUUAUCGAUGCAAUGACCAGUGGAAGUCCGAAAAGCCAACAGAAUGUGUGCUUUUGUCAGGAGGGGUGUGGAGAGUAAGACAGAAGGCACUAUUUUGAAUUGGCACAUACAGCCUGGGUGCCCUGGGUGCACCUCUGACAUGGAUGUUGUGUGCAGUUCUGCUUUCCCCAUCUCAAGAAGAACAUAGUGGAGUCAGAGAAGAGGCAUUAAAAUGGUAAUGGUAGUGGAGCAGCUGCCUAAUGAAAAAAAGUAAAAGGCAGAAACUCUUCAGUUUGGAGAGAAGGCUGAGGAAGGCACGCUUGGGAUUUAGAAAGUCAUGAAGAUGGCAGAUAAGGUGAAUGUAGAACUGUUAUCCACCAAACCCUGCAGUGCUAGAACCAGGGGGAACUCGUUGAAACUAGUAGGAAAAGAUUUAAAACAGAUACAGUGCUUACACAAUGGAGACUGAACUUCUGGGAUUUGUUGCCACAGGAGGCUGUGGGGCAGACAGUAUCAGCAGACUCAAAAAGGUCCAUAAAUAACUACCAGAGGGAAUAGGCAGGGACAUAUCCUUUAACAUCCUUAAUACAACAAUUGCAGAUGCUGGGGAGUUUGAAGAGAAAGACCCACAGAAAGUGGCCAGACUCACAUUCUCUCUGCUCAGAGCAUUUGUUGUUGGCUUGAGAAAAGAUGGACUACUGGCAGGACCAUGCAAGAAGCUUCCUCAUGUGGGACUGAGGCUCCUGUCUCCAUGCCACAGAGAAGAGAAUAAUGCUCCUGAAGGUGAUUCAGAGCAGAACCUACCUUUUCCUGCCCUGAAUCAUCUGUUAGAAAACCCUAUCUCUCACCAUCAAUUUCACAGGAAAUCUACCCUAGACAAAAGUUAGUCCCGUGAAUAACCAUCUUAGUCACAACUGACACAGGUUGGAUUUGAACUGCUAAUCUGGAACUGAAAAAAGUGUCAUAUACCAAACACCAGUUGUUCCACACACCCCCACCUCUGGUCAGUUCGUUGAGGGUUUUUAAGAGGAAAAAAAGUAUUAGAGUUCAGUACUAUUAGAAAGAUUAUUGGCUGACUAUGAUCACAUCCAAUUGGAAGCAUUUCCUCAGCCAGUGAUGCUGAAACAGUACGUCAAACUCUGGUUAAGAUGAAAAGUUAAAAAAACAUCUUUUGUAUAUGUUAGACUGCUUUCUCAUAGUCUCAAAGCUGAAUCACUGGGAAAGACUGCUUCUGCUGUCUAGCUGUGAAGCUGUUCUGAAUUGCCCAGGUAUGGCUGGAUGUCUCAAUGUUUGUGGGAAGCCUGCUGCAUGUCACCAUCUGGAAACAGAAACAGCAGGAGAGGCUGGAAUUGCAGUAGGACAUCUGAAUCAGAAAAGGGAGGUGAAAGUCAGGAGGUGAGUGUUCCACACAAAGCUACCUCAGUAGCUUCCUUUGACCACUCCAUCUCAUAGAAAUGAAAUACCUGCUUGUACGACACAGAAUAAGCUGUAUUUCAUUACAAAAUAUCCACAUAGAAUAAGCUGCUUCAACAAGCAAAUACAGACAUUUUUAUAUUACUUGGAGUUGGAGAUGCUGGGAGACAUUUUCAGUCAUCAGCUGAAAAUCUGAUAGCUCCAGGAAAAGGAAAGUUCCAAAGCAUAUUCUGGGAUUCAAAAAUGGACUGAAAUACAGUAAUAACUGCACAAAAUUUAAACCUGUCUUUUAAAAUGUGUUUGAACUUCAAAGUAUCAGGGUCUCUGGUAGCAUGAAUUCCUGGUACUCAGACAGUACGUGACAGGCAAAAAUCUUUGCAGAAAUCUACUGAUUAAUCUCCGGUAUAGGUAAGUGUUGAAACUGGUAUUUGUUGUCUUUCUUUUUUAACUUGGAAGAUACAAAGUGGAAGUUUGCUCAUAGCACUUGGUUGGCUGCCCAGGACUUCCAAAGAAAUCCAUGGUUGGAAGGAUGGAAAGGGGAACCUGCCAUGAUUUCCAAGCUUUUCUUCCUGCUGGCUAAAAUAUGUUGCUACCUGCUUUGGAACUGAAAAACCACUCCACGCUGUGCAAAACCUCCAACAGAAAAUGUUUAGAAUAUGGUUAACUGUUUUAUGAUAGAACAUUUCUGGAGCCUGGAGAAGCCUCCAUGGUAACCUGACAGCAGCUUUCGGUACCUAAAGAGGGGCUACAAGAAAGAAGGGGACAGACUAUACAGGAGGGUCUGUGGUGACAGGACAAGGGGAAACAGUUUCAAACUAAA